GGCUCUGUGGCAGGGAGUGGGAGGGUGAUUAACAGGGGAAGAAUUAGGAAAGAGGACACGCAAGACCACAGUAAGAGAUGGAAAUAAGAGAAUAUUCCUGAUUUCCACUGGAUGACUUUGACUGGUAUGAUUUCAUUCUCUGAAAGUGUUAACCAGGGUGCAGCAUGGCCAGAAACCAUUCCGAGCCUCAUGAAGUGGGCAAGUCAGGUUUGGUCAUUUUUGGUAAUGUCAUUGCAUGUACACAGUUUAAGACAGAGCAUCUGGUGAUUCUCGGACCUUCAAGCAAGUGUCACAUCUCAGGUGAACCUUGGCAGUUUUAAGAUGAACAAAGUAAUCAAAGCAAAAAUGUCAAAUAAUAAUAAUAAUAAUGAUAUCAGAAGAAUGUCCAGUGCCAUGGUUGGAUUCCCAGAAGGCAGCAUCUGCUCAUGCCAUCAACAACAUGGUGCCAUUUCAGUCAUCCUCUUUUUGUCCCAAAGACAGAAAAAAAAUAGAAAAAAGAAAGAGAAAAAGACACCACGAACCGUCUAUCCUCCUGGUAAUACAAAUACACCUGUAAAUAAACAUGUCAAUGUCUACACACAACGCACAUUUAUGCAGAAUCCAUCCUCUCGGUGCUUCCGUAGUUAUCAAGUAAAAGUCCUUCUAAGCCUAAGAAAUGAUAGUAUUAAUUCAGUCUUGGGGUGUGGGGGGAAAGGUGGACUAUCAUCAAAUAAAAAAGGCGAGGCUAAUUAAGUGACAUCCACUGGGGACUGGGAAAAGAAGAGACUUCUUGUGGGAAAGUAAUUAUAUCUUCAUUGACCCUCCUGGGGUACCCCCAGUGGCAGGGACUCUGCCUCGCGGUGUGACAUCUCCUUUCGGGAUGAGCAGCCAGUCACCUCGAGAAGCCCCCUUCUCCAUGGAUGCGUUUUCUAAUCAUUUCACAUGAUUGAGCCUCCAGCAAGUGAUGCUUUACUUAAUUCCUUUCCGCCUGUAGGGUGUGAGGUUUGGAGGGCCUCUCGUCAAAACUUUGGAGGGCUCUGUCAGUUUGAAAAGAACAUGACCUUUAAAUUGUAUCAGUAUGUUUGCUGGUGCAUAAGGGAGAGGAAAAGGUUCGUCCUGAUGGAAAACCACUCAGAAGCCAAGGAGUAAUUCAGAGGGAACCAGCCCAGGAAGAAUCAAGAAAGCUGCCCACAGUGUCAUUCUUCAGCUGAGAAAAGAGAGAGUUGACUAACUCCUCGGACUGGAGUGAGGACUCACAGAGGUGGUGAGAAGCCAUCCUCUCUUGAAUGGGGGCUCCCACUGUACAUCUGGCACCCACUUCACAGAUUCUGGGGGAUGUCAACACCAGCACUGCUGAGCUGUGUGACCUUGAGCAAGACAGUUAGCCUCUCUGAACCUCAGUGUCCUUCUCUGUAGGCUGGAGAUUGAUAUACCUUCAUUAUCGGGGUAUGAGAGUGUUAUAAGGUGGGAUGGUGGAACACGCUGACUGGUCUGGGCUAUUCAAGAUCCAUGAACUGGAAGAUGCUUUCUUAUAACUCAGAGAAAAGAGAUGAAAAUGAAUCAAAGAACAGGAAGGAGACAAGCUCAGGAGAGUCACCCUAAGAAGGAUGUGUGGAAGACUUGACUGGAGGAUCAAAAUGUGUCGGGGGAAGGUGUACAAGGAGGAGUAAGGACACAGAUGUCCUGACUUCACACAGUGGGGGAUUAGAAGCCACCAUCAAACACAGAUGAAACAGGAAUAAAAGUAGUAGUACAUUACUUAAGCUUUAAAAGGGUAAGACUCCUGGGAAUUUGGAAGCUGAGACUUGAGGCAAGUAUUUAGGAUUUGCUGUCUCACCUCCCUGCUAUGACAGUCCUUAAUUAAUGGAGAUGAUGGAGAACAGCUUGCUGGGCUGAGUGGCAGGAGCCAUGCAGCUGCUGGGGCUGGAGUGGGUCAGGAAGCUUCAUCAAUCUGGGACACAUGACGUGCUUGGUGGUGGCGGAGCCUGACGCAUCCCUCUUCAUCGACAUUGUGUCAAUAGGAGCAGAGGCAUUUAGCUGUGUAAACACAGAGCUUCAGUGGCAGCACCCUAAAUGCUUAGCUGAUAGAUCCGGAAUUAAAUACAGACCUAGAAACUGGAGUUGGAAAACUUCCUGGCAGCACUCCUUCCCUGCCAUCCCGGUGAUCCCCUUCUGGAUGGAGGGUGUGGAGCUCAGCACAUUCACGUCUGCAGUUCUCAGAGAACCAAGUGUUAAGGAAUGUCAGGGAAGGAAGAAGGCAGCCAGCCAGGAAGGGGAGGUCCUGGCCUGAGCACGCCAGGCACAGAGGGAUAGAGGGUAGGGAGGAAACUGCACCUGUCUCCAACCCUCGACCCCAGCCCCGAAACACGACAUUGGCUGAAACAGAUUAAAAGCAUAAAAUGGCCCAAAGAAAUGGGAGAAGGUUGGCCUCUGGUCGGGCAAACAUGAGGGCAUGAAGAUAUAUAAUGUCCCACACGGGAGGAAACCCUUGCCGGGCCCCUCAGGAUUUAUAACAAGCUCACCUGAAGGAGAAACUUCAGGGGCACUUACACCAUCAGAUACCUAGAAAGGAGCUGUCAUUUCCUCACUGAAGAGUUUGCAAGCAGAUGGAAAAUGUGUGUCUGGAUCAUCUUGUGGCCCGAAUGGGGAGAAAAGAUGCAGUAUUCCAAAGCAGGAGAUUCACUGAAAAAGAUGUUUAAGAAGUUGCUGAUGAAGAAAAGUUCAGGAUUCACAGCUCCAUACAAAGGGAAUAGCCACUUUUCUCAUUUUGAGAUAUGACUACUAACAAGUAUUAUUCUGCAUCUUCAGCCAGGCUGUGGAAGGCCCCAUUCUUUCUGUAACACAGAUGUUCAAUUGGAAUUUUCCAUCUGGUCACAUAAUUCUGCUUUGGGAUUUAACAGGUUAACUUGGCACUGGUCACUGGCCUUGGAGGGCAAAAUAUGAUAGUUCAGCAUAGAUUCUAUUUGUUGAUAACUCAUCAUAGCCACAUUGGCAUCAAUAAGUUUUCUGUAGGGCACACUUUUCCUUUAAUGUGGACACAGUCACAUAAUAAUAUGCUUAUGGUGCAGACGUUGGUUCUAAACUCACUUUGCAUUAUCUGUAUCUGUAUCUGCAUCUAUAUCUGUAUCUGUAUCUAUCUGUAUCUACAUCUGU
RNAcentral lists this long non-coding RNA (3132 nucleotides) under Homo sapiens (human). Its description in RNAcentral is "HSALNT0397358". The record is from RNAcentral. Lineage: Eukaryota; Metazoa; Chordata; Mammalia; Primates; Hominidae.